Molecule: unclassified non-coding RNA, 351 nt
Filed under: soil metagenome
Description: partial contains 5.8S ribosomal RNA, internal transcribed spacer 2, and large subunit ribosomal RNA
Rfam family: 5.8S ribosomal RNA (bases 1-120)
Source: RNAcentral
GAUGAAGAACGCAGUGAAAUGCGAUAAGUAAUGUGAAUUGCAGAAUUCAGUGAAUCAUCGAAUCUUUGAACGCACAUUGCGCCCGCCAAUAUUCUGGCGGGCAUGCCUGUCUGAGCGUCAUUUCAACCCUCAGCCCCCGCUCGCGGGGCGCUGGCGUUGGGGAUCGGCCGUCCUCGCGGCGGCCGGCCCCGAAACACAGUGGCGGUCUCUCGCGGACUCCCCUGCGUAGUAGCACUACCUCGCAGAAGGGACGAGCGGGCUGACCACCCCGUAAAACCCCCCACUUCUCCAGGUUGACCUCAGAUCAGGUAGGAAUACCCGCUGAACUUAAGCAUAUCAAUAAGCGGCGGA